GUCUAGUGUGAGGGGUUAUAUCAGUAGUCUAGUGUGAGGGGUUGUGUCAGUAGUCUAGUGUGAGGGGUUAUGUCAGUAGUCUAGUGUGAGGGGUUAUAUCAGUAGUCUAGUGUGAGGGGUUGUGUCAGUAGUCUAGUGUGAGGGGUUGUGUCAGUAGUCUAGUGUGAGGGGUUAUGUCAGUAGUCUAGUGUGAGGGGUUAUAUCAGGGGAGACAGUGUGUCAGUAGUCUAGUGUGAGGGGUUAUGUCAGUAGUCUAGUGUGAGGGGUUAUAUCAGGGGAGACAGUGUGUCAGUAGUCUAGUGUGAGGUGCAGGAAUAUUGUCAAGUGAACCUGGGGAGCUUUGUGUUCACAUUGACUUAAAAAAGGGAACCGGACCCCAAACUUCAAGCGAAUCGAACUGAACCCAUCUCUCGAAAUGUCUCAGUUCCGUUCACUUCUGGGGCUCUUUUGAGGGGUCAGAGUUCAUGUGGAGUGCACAUUGCACAACAAAAAUUAAGGGAACCACACUGAGUUCACAAGAAUUGUCUGAAAGGGACCAAGUGGUGAAAACACCUAGCUGCUGUGUAUACAGGACACUUCAAUGUUUACAUACUGUUUUACCCCUAGUCAUAUGUACUAGUUCAUCCUAUAUAACUACUGCUGUCCACUUCAUAUGUAUAUACUGUAUUCUAGUUCAUCCUAUAUAACUACUGUUGUCCUCUUCAUAUGUAAAUACUGUAUUCUAGUCCUAGUUCAUCCUAUAUAACUACUGCUGUCCACUUCAUAUGUAUAUACUGUAUUCUAGUUCAUCCUAUAUAACUACUGCUGUCCACUUCAUAUGUAUAUACUGUAUUCUAGUUCAUCCUAUAUAACUACUGCUGUCCACUUCAUAUGUAUAUACUGUAUUCUAGUCAUGGUUCAUCCUGUUGUCCACUUCAUAUGUAUAUACUGUAUUCUAGUUCAUCCUAUAUAACUACUGCUGUCCACUUCAUAUGUGUAUAUACUGUAUUCUAGUCAAGGUUCAUCCUAUAUAACUACUGCUGAC
This is a long non-coding RNA of Oncorhynchus tshawytscha (Chinook salmon), 1024 nucleotides long. Lineage: Eukaryota; Metazoa; Chordata; Actinopteri; Salmoniformes; Salmonidae. The record is from Ensembl.